GCCUCUGUCUGGAAGUGGGCGGUUUUUGUUAUUGAGGGAAAACAUUCCUGAAAGUGAGUCAGAGAGUGAGAGAAAAUAAAACAGUCUCUGUUCCCAGUGUCACUGAGUAGAACUACUUGCUGUGCAGUUGCAUCUUGUCAGCGUGGACACUGCAGUUGUUGUUUACUGUAAGCUGUCUCAACAUAGUAGGCCAAAACAGAGCCUGUCUGAGCUACUUGGAAUUUCACAAUUUGGCAUAUUACACCACAAAAACCUCAGAGAAAGAUGGACACAAAGAGAAUGAUAUUCUGUUUGCUUGUGGCAGUUAUUAUCAGCCCUGUGUUUACUGAAGAAUGGAGGGCCAAUGUUGUAAAAGAACUUGACGCCCUGGUCACAUCCUGUGUUGUGGUACCCUGUUCAUUCACCCAUCCUAAAGAGAACCUGCCCACCUCCAGACUCAGAGGGAUCUGGCAUCGUUCGACUGAUAGAAACCAACGCAUCUACUACGAGGAUAGCACGCAGGUCUUGGAAAACUUUAGGGGCCGCACAAAGUUGUUGGGACAUCUGGGUCAGAACAACUGCUCUUUAGAAAUUACUAACAUUAAAGAUCAUGACAACGGCCCUUUCUGUUUCCGGCUCGAACUAGCACGAACAGAGACUGAUACAUCCACCGUUGACAAGUUCUCCUUUGUGGAGAGUUGUGUCGAAUUGAGAAUGCUCCCUGAUCCUCCGAAUCCUACACUGAGUCACCCAAAGACGGCCAUUCAAGAUCGUCCCUACACUAUCACCUGUUCAGUCCGCCAUACCUGCCCCUCCCAUGUGCCUAAACUCACAUGGAGUAGAGGCACAGCAGAUGAGGUAACAGAGGUCCACAAGGAAACUGGCUUUGGCUACUGGGAGGCCGAGUCCAUCCUGACCAUCAUUCCUGAGGAGAAGGAUGAUCACAGUGAUGUCACCUGUACAGCACAAUUUAAUGGACAGAAGACAUCAUCUACAACAUUGAAACUGUAUGUAAAACGUACAGAAAACUAUAACCACAUCAUCAUUCCCACGGUGGCAGUGAUUGGUACAGCUGUGAUCUUUGCAGUCUUCUGCAUUUUCAUGGUGAAAAGAUACAAACUGUCUCGCAGGUGAGAAAACAUUUUGUACAUUUUGGACCUAAAAAAAGCCUACUGGUUGUCAAGGAUUACAUUUUAAAAGAGCAAUAAACAGCUGAAAUUGUUGUAGGCCAUUCUUAUUAAAGGCAAAAAAGGAUUUUUUAAUGCAUUUUUAUCUUAUAAUUUGGUGACUAGUUCUGUACCGUUCCAACUGUAAACUUUUACACACCAAUGCAUCAUUUGUCUUGCAUAUCUCUGCAGAUGUAACAUGUUUAUUUUUGAUUCUGCUUUACGAUAAACUAUGCUUCUAUCUUUAUGUGAAAUGGCAAUGCCUUAUUUUCUGUUCUUCUUUUUUAAUCGGGUGAAUCUAAAGGUGAGAAUUGAAAAAAGGAACUUCACUUAAAUAUGUGAAACCACCCAGUUUGCUUUAUUUGUUGUGAUGUCCUUACAGUUAAACCGUUAAAAAACAAAUAUUAAAUGUAAUAAUAUUUAACAUGUAAAGCUGCAUCGCUGUCCCAUCGCAGUCUUUUGCACACAAUUCAGAACUGAUAUUACAGAUAUGUUUUCUUAUUAUUCAUUUGUCUAUUUUGCCCACAUUGUGAUGGAAUCUUAAAAAAAUUGUCAACAAACAUGGCAUGUCUUUGGUCGAAGCAAACAAUGAGUUCUGUUUUUCUGUUACCGAGGGAGGGCUUGUCUGUGGCUCUUUGUCUGGUUUACUUGAAGAUAAUCAAAAGAAAGCAGAAGAAGUGACCAGUGUCCUCCAUUACGGUCUAUUGCUGACUGCCACUGUCAUGCCACUUUUUUGAUGCUACAACUGUGGAGACAGCAAAGUUGGAAAGUUUUAAAUCCUACAUGUGUUUUUUUUUUUUUACUGAAAUUAAAGGGGCUGUACUCGAUAUUCAGAAGAAAAAGUGGUCUGGGAUUGCUGCCACAUGGCUCUCACAGACCAUUCCCCUUUUCAAAUACCAACACUGUCACAUCCCUCGGCUACAGAUACCGACUCACAAGGCACUCACAUCACAUGCACGCGUGGCCGGUUGGCUUUCAAAACAACAAACAGAGAAACUCAGAUUAUAACUCACACAGAAGGAGUGUGACUUCCUUCACUGCUCAGGACAACAUUACUCCACUAUAUCUUUACAUAGCAAAUAGUUGUUUACUGCUUUAUCAUUUUCUGAAUAUCGAGUACUGCCCCUUUAAGUCAAAAGGCAAAUUAUUUGCUGAAGGGUUUAAUUAGUUUGUUUGACAAGCUCGUUUUCAUCUUAUUCACAUAUUAGCUUCAGAGAAACUGCAUUAUGUUAAUGGCAACAAUAAUCUGAAAAAAUAGACAAAAUAAGAUAUAAAAUUCUGUCGACAAAGCUUGAAGGUUUUAGCAGCAUAGUUCCCUGAAAAGCAAUGUUUUGUACUGUAAACAUGUUUGUUUGUGAGGAGGAAAUAAACUGUAAAAAAUGUAUUCACUGUCAACUGGCAUGUGAGUGUAUUAAAUGCACUGUGCUAGUGUCUCUCAAAUGAUAAUUACAGCCGGUGAUGACACUGUGCUGAGAUGUGACAAAACAGUUUCUCCCCAAAAUAAAAGAAAUACAUUAAUUAAAUUAAACACCCACCAUUUCCAUCUGUCUGAACAGAUAAGAGUAAAAGAAAGUGAUUUGUACAUUACAUUUUUGAUUUGUGCUCACUCUGUUGUGAUUGCUUCAUCAUUGCUUUAUUGAUAAUUCCUUUGUCCUCCACAGGGGCGAAACUCUACAAACCUUCCUCAUUCUGUAUACUUUGACUCAUAUAUUUACUCAAUUUUCAUGAAAAUAUAUAUUUUGCACUUACUUUUAUAUUCAGCUACCUUUAGAUGGAGUAAAAUCUAGAACUACACCAAAUUUGUCAGCCAGACUUUUUUUGGACAAUAGGUUGUUAAUGUAUAAGUUUCUACUUGGGGAAUGAAUGCUCUGUGACAUGUUCAUACAACUCGAGAGGCUUCUCAUUUAUUUGUCUACUGACGUGUAUGACAGUAUGGGCCGUAGCAUACAACAUUACAUCCUAGGACAUUUUCCCGACUGCCUUAAGAAAUGUGUAUCACGCCCUGUUGUGGCAGCCUUAUCACUAUGCAAAUAACCUUACGCCGUUAACUAGAUCCAGCAUGUGAACAGUUACAUGACAGUUAAAGACAUAUGUUGUGAAUCUGUUACAUUCCAUUUUGUUAUAACUGAAUAAAGCCUCUCUCAUCCGUUUAAACUGGCAUCAAAAUUUGGCAAUAUGAAUUGUUACUUUUUUACUUCCUGAAGAUUUACCAGCAUGAACCAACCUUUAACCAAUCCUCCUUUCAUUUGGGUGCCCCUUUCUUAUCUAUCUACUCAUCAUCGAAGUGAAUGGAGCAUAGAAAAUGUAGCCUGUAUAUUCUUGUGUGUCUCAUUAAACCUUUAGAACAUUGUUGAACUGAA
This is an RNA transcript of Perca fluviatilis (European perch), 3505 nucleotides long. It is a transcript of the gene named sialic acid-binding Ig-like lectin 13, with no coding region annotated. Lineage: Eukaryota; Metazoa; Chordata; Actinopteri; Perciformes; Percidae. The record is from RefSeq and is a predicted model, not a curated record. The transcript has 7 exons.